AGGAGCAAUCCGAAGCUGUGAACCGAAGCCCCAGUAAACGGCGGCCGUAACUAUAACGGUCCUAAGGUAGCGAAAUUCCUUGUCAGGUAAAUUCUGACCCGCACGAAUGGCGUAACGACUUGGGCGCUGUCUCAACGAGAGAUCCGGUGAAAUUUUAAUACCUGUGAAGAUGCAGGUUACCCGCGACAAGACGGAAAGACCCCAUGGAGCUUUACUGCAGCUUGAUAUUGGAUUUGGGUACGAUCUGUACAGGAUAGGUGGGAGCCUUUGAAGCAUGAGCGCCAGCUUGUGUGGAGGCGACGUUGGGAUACCACCCUGAUCGUAUCUAGGUUCUAACCUGGUACCGUAAUCCGGUACGGGGACAGUGUCAGGCGGGCAGUUUGACUGGGGCGGUCGCCUCCUAAAGAGUAACGGAGGCGCCCCAAGGUUCCCUCAGAAUGGUUGGAAAUCAUUCGAAGAGUGCAAAGGCAUAAGGGAGCUUGACUGCGAGACCUACAAGUCGAGCAGGGA
This 510-nucleotide ribosomal RNA is filed under the name Staphylococcus aureus. RNAcentral's name for it is "partial 23S ribosomal RNA". It matches the Rfam family "Bacterial large subunit ribosomal RNA", at positions 1892 to 2399 of the family's 2925-position model. Lineage: Bacteria; Bacillati; Bacillota; Bacilli; Caryophanales; Staphylococcaceae. The record is from RNAcentral.